Molecule: ribosomal RNA, 324 nt
Filed under: uncultured eukaryote
Lineage: Eukaryota
Description: partial 18S ribosomal RNA
Rfam family: Eukaryotic small subunit ribosomal RNA
Source: RNAcentral
CCCUUAGAUGUUCUGGGCUGCACGCGCGCUACACUGAUGCGAUCAACAAGUUUUUCCUAUGUCGAUAGACACGGGUAAUCUUUUGAACUCGCAUCGUGAUGGGGAUAGAUUAUUGUAAUUAUUUAUCUUCAACGAGGAAUUCCUAGUAGGUGCAAAUCAUCAGUUUGCAUCGAUUACGUCCCUGCCCUUUGUACACACCGCCCGUCGCUGCUACCGAUUGGUUGAUCUGGUGAAUUAUUCGGACUGCCGGCUGAAGGGGUUUCCUCAUCUGCCAGCGGAAAGUCUUGUUAACCCUAUCAACUAGAGGAAGCAGAAGUCGUAACA